This 71-nucleotide transfer RNA is filed under the name Staphylococcus arlettae. Its description in RNAcentral is "tRNA-Glu". It matches the Rfam family "tRNA". Rfam says of the family: Transfer RNA (tRNA) molecules are approximately 80 nucleotides in length. RNAcentral also lists the same sequence under 2 other names. Lineage: Bacteria; Bacillati; Bacillota; Bacilli; Caryophanales; Staphylococcaceae. The record is from RNAcentral.
GCCCCGUGGUCAAGCGGUUAAGACACCGCCCUUUCACGGCGGUAACACGGGUUCGAGUCCCGUCGGGGUCA